AGGCCGGGGGCGGGGCUGGGCGGUGUCUCCCUGGGAGAGCGGUCUCUCCUACGCCCCCAUUUGAUUGGCGCUGCGCGGGACCUCCCCGCCUUGCGCCAGCCACGGAGAGCCAGAGCCAGCCAGCGGCCGGGACCAGAGGCAGAGAGGCGCGGCUGGGGAGGCUGGGGACUGCGGCUGGGGCUGGCCGAGAGGCGCCCGGCCUCCGCUUUCCCGGGACUUCGCUCCCCCGGGCGUCCCGCCCUGUCCGUCGCAGCGGCCGCUACCUCUCGCCUGGCACACAGCGGCGUGGACGCGCGCUCCCGGCGCCGGUGUCUGCGUGCUUUGGGCGCUGGCCGCGCCGGGCUCACGGACCCCGGCACUCGGAAACGUCCCUGCCUGGCCACCGGCGGGGAGCCAGAGCCCAACUCCUAGGAAGUGUCCUCUCUAUCCUUUCCCUACUUCUUGUGAACUUCUGACCCACAUCACUCAACUGGGAACGGCCAUCUCCAAGUGGUGUGACUCAGUGGUGGAGUUCUAGGAGAUGCUUUCUCAUGGGGAUGGAGAUCCAGGAGCUGGUGAAGAGAUCCAUGGACAGAAGAUUAAAGGAAAUCCUUGGAAGAACAAGGGAACAGUGUGGGACACCAGAAAAGCCUUCAUGUUCUCCAGCAUAAACCAGUGUUGUGGAGUCCAGUUCCAGAGUAUUUCCAAGACUUGAGAAGUUCAUAUCUCCCACCAUGCCUCCAGAAGUCCCCCACCAUGGCCGGAGCUUGGCAGAUAAGUAUGCUAAACUUACCAACCUCUUCUUUUUAGUCUUUUUGGUUGUGAGAAAGGCUAGCGGGGGGGGGGGGGCUAGAUACUUAGCAAAUGUUAAUAUUGAGUGGAACUGAACAGAACACAGACAUGGUGGAUCAUAGGAUCUCCGGUUAGGAAGAAAACUAGAGAGGUCAUUUUCUUGAUUCCUUUACCUUUGGGUAGCAUUACAGAAAGGUGAGAGCCCAUUUCCUUUGAUUUAGAGGAUCCCAGAGAAGGCAAUUCUUCACCCAUCCUGCUCUAACUCUCAUUCUAGGCUUUCUUUGGUUCCAAGCUCAAUUUCUCCUGCUGUUCCAGUGGUAUUGAGAUCUUUCAGUCUUAGUGCCAUAAAAAGCAUGGGAACCAAGUAUCUCUGUUGAUUGGGGUUCUUAUAGUCUUGCUUCCUCUUUGACUUUGACUGAGGAUUUAAUAUCAUACUUUCCCUUAUAUGUUCCCUUAUAUUCCCAAAUACUGCUGCCUAAAACAAUACUUUACUUAAAUUUAGAUAAAAAGUCUUUGCAUUCAGUGUAACAAAAUGUCUGUGGCAGAUAAUGAUACAGGAUAUAUCUGGACCUCAGUUUCCUUCUCUGUAACAUAAGGGAGUUGGACUAAAUGACCUUUAAAUUCCUUUUCAGUUCUAGUACUCUGAUAAUCAUAGCUAAGUAUAUUUCUUUCAGGUCCAGGAUAGAGUCUCCACACCCCCAUCUUCCUAGCUGGGUGACCAGGAACAUUGGGACAUCUUUGGGGAACAGAAGCUAUAUAUAUAUAUAUAUAUAUGAGCUGAGAGGUCAUUCAGUUCAACCUCAUUUUUUAAACAAUGAAGAUGUUAUUUUUGAUGGAUUACUAACAGAAUUAGGUUAACCUAUGAUCCAUGUAAAUUUCAAUAAUUCCUUUAUAAAUACAUUUAAAAUGCUUAUACAUUUCCAAUGAAAUGUCAGAUUUCAUGGAUACAGCUUUUAGACCAAAUUUUUUUGGUGGUCUUUAACAGGAAUUGUUUUAUUUAAAACUGAGUCACAGUGAGAUUAAGGUGAACCAUAGGGUAAAGACUCUUCAAAACAGUGAGACCGACAGAGUGGUAUGCUUACCAGCACGUUCCUUGUAAUUACGAGGCAUAUUUAAUACCAACUAUUGUUCAGUGAAAUGAAAACAACAUUAUAUAAAAUGUAAAAGACACUUGGCUGUGAACAGAAUGUAUUGGUUGGUCACUGCCUUUUUUUUUUUUUUUUUAACUAGACCAAUCUCCUAGUUUUACAGUUGGAAAAAUGGCCCCAGGCAAAGAAAAUGACUUGCUUCAAAUUACAUACUAAGUUAGUGACAGUGUUGGAACCAAACUCCAGUCCUCCUGAAUUUUUAAUUUCCAAUUCCACAGAGAGACUCCAUUUCUUUUGUUUUGAAUUCCCUGGGUUGCCAUCAUGUAUUCCAUUCUCACUGCCUGACUGGCCCCUAGACUUUGCAGAGCAGGAAGAGCCACUUGCUUAAGUGUCUAGAGGCUCAGACCAUUAUUGCUCCCUAUACAUUUUGAAAAAGUACCCAAAAAGUAGAUUUAGUCUUUUUUCUUUCCCCCGUGUAUAGAUCUGGUGCCAUUGUCCUUUGAGGCCUUUUCCUAUAGGUAUAGGGUAACUCGAGUGCUUGGGCCACAGUAGUCAAUUAGUCUUAUUGACCAACUAUAUUCCUUGAAGGCCACUGAAGAAUAGAAGGAGAUAUUUUCAGUAGUCACCACUUUUGUCUACUUUGUGGAAAAACGAGUGAGGAAAAUAUUGGUCCACUCCUGACUAGAACAGUCAGUUCUGCAGAGGAUUCCUAAACAAUUAUAAUAGGAGCCUCUUCUGUCCGUGUAUCAGUUCCAUGUUACUAAGGCAAAACCUCCAGCUUCUAUUUGGAUACUUUUUUAACUCCUCGAAAGCUGACUUCAGUGUUCAUUGUUAUCUGAUUUUGCCCAGAUAAAUACAUUAGAUGGAAAGAUUAGCAGCUUUAGCUGUUUUUUCAAAGACCAGGACCCUCAGGUCCUUCCUGUGUAUCUCCAGUGUUAUACUCUACCAAGGAACAUCCUCAGUGUUGGCACCUGAUCCCACUUCACAUUUUUAAGGAUGGCCUUAAUGGGUUCUCCUUUUACCUUUAGAGAAUGAUUAUCAUCAUGAUUUUACAAUUAUCUUCGGGUAACCAAAAAUAAAGCAUUUUCAUACUUUUUAAACCAGCUCCAAUGGUUUAGCGUCUCAAAUUGUCAGUGCAACAGAGAUAUAUUUCAGGAAGGUCUUUACAGACUCACUAUGAGAAAGGUUACCUUCUGCUAUCAUGGAAGUAUCAAGCAGAUUUAUUCCCUAAAGACAAAAAAAUAGAUUCCCGCAAAAGUAUGUUAAUGAUAAAGAUACAUAGAUAAAAGUAACAGACAUUUGUUUAGUUCUUUGAGAUAUCUUAAAGUGUUCCUUACAAUUUAUCUCAUUGGAGUCAUGUAGUUGGUAUAUUACAGAUUUUUAUCUCCAUCUUAGAGAUUAGUGUAGUUAGGAAGCAUAGGAGGUGAGAUUUGAACCAGUCUGACUCCAAGUCCAAAGCUCAAGCCACCAUACCAUGUUAUGUAUAGAACAAAGGUACUGGGAGGGACAUACUUAGAACUUGGUUCUGUUCAUUUCAUCAAUGCACCUUUACCAAAUCUAGGGGCUCAGUUGAGUCUGAGAUGCUCUCUGCAAGGAACCAAAUCUUCCUAAAGCUCCAAAGAGAAUGCCUGGUAGUGUAUUAUAAUCUUUACAUGGCGGCAUGUUGGUUGUUUCUGUUGCUGAUAUCGGUAUUGUUUUUAUUAUUAUUGUUGUUAUUUUGGUUAUUAAGCUUGCUGGGUUUUUCCUCCUUGGAUCUUCCCCAUUACAUAAAACCUGCCCUCCUCCACAAUGACUCUGCAGUUUGUUGCUGUCCCCUACCAUAGUGCUGAAACACUUUCCCCAUUCCCUGGCUUUCCCUGGCCAUGGUGCUGACAGCAAUGUCACCUUUGAUCUCUUCAAGUAGCUCCAGGCCUUGAUAUCUGUGUGUCUCUCUGUGUGGUGGUUUGGGGGAGAUGGAUGUGAGAUGGUAGUUGAUCAGACUUUAGGAUCCAUAUGGUUCCUGGGACCUCCCACUAGCUAAAAGACCCUGGGGUUGGGGAGGGAUCUUGUUUUCUUCUGCUGCUUUGCUCGGUUGUCUUCUCUUUCAGCCACUAAGGACCAAGCCUGGACAGUUCACAAGCCCAUCCAACAUCUGGAGCCCCGGAAAUGCUUGCCUUGAUUCUUCUUACUGUCAACCAGUUGGUUGGACACUUCCAGAGAAACUCUGCCUGUUCCAGAUUCCAAGAGCUGCUACAUCCUGACUCUUCCCUCCGGAGAAGUGACCAGCCUCAUCCAGAGUUCCAUUUUCAAGUCCCAGAUGGAGGAUACUCACCCUCGGCCGACAGACUCUUUUUCUCAGGACCUCCCCACCAUCCUGUCCCUUUCCCAUCCAGCAGAGUGAGUGCCAAAGCUCAGAGAAUGCUGGGAAGAGCCCUGCAUUUAGAGUUGGAUGGCAUGACUUUGAAUUCUGACCCUUCUACUUCUACUCAUGUGAAUUCUGACAAGUCACUUCACCUCUUUGGGCCUCAGUUUCCCCUUUCUAAGGGGAAAGGACUUUAGAAUAAUUCCUUUCCAUACGUAGAUCUAUGUAAGGACCUAUUAGUGAGUUCCUGACCUGGCAUCUGUUCCGCAGAGAAGGAUGAUCUCAAUUUGAUCAGGAGAUCCAGAAUACUGCUGCCUACAGAGGCAGAGCCGCAGGUAAAGGUGCAGGGAUGGAGCUUUGGGAAGAGUUCCAGCUGUGGCCAGCUGCCUGCCCAGAGGAUGUACAGAGUCUCCAAGGAGACUUUCCCUGUUCUGCAGCCCUAGCCUUUUCUACCUGAGGGGCAGAGGGCUGCAUGCUGAUUCUAAUUCAGUCUCCAGCUUAAGGAAUCUCUAGCCUAGGAUAGGGCAGGAUAUAUUGGGAAGACCAUUGAAUCUGGCAUCCGAGCACUUGGGUUAGAACUCUGAGGAGCUAUGUGGUCUUGGGAAAGUGCCUUCACCUAUCUGGCCUUGGUUUCCUUGCCUGGAAAAGGAGAGGGUUGGACUACAUGGUCUCUAGAGGUCUUUUAACUCUUUAGGCUGCUGCUUCUUUGCCUGUUCCUUCUCCCUCCCUGCUUUUACUGGGGUACCCAGCCUGUGGCCAAAACCAUUCUCUCAAUAAUGCUUUUCCUAAUUUUACUUAGAAAGACUCCUGUAGGGGGAGAUAGGGAUGCAAAAUUGUAAGAGGGAAAGUAAAAGGUGGGGAAAGUUCAGGUAGCCUAGAUUUCUACAUAGAGACCUUUCUGUUUGUCACCUUCUUCAAUCAUUCCUGAAAGGCAAGGUACCUCCCCUCUUUGUGAGGUUUGGUGAGAUCCCCUAGACUCACAGGGGAACAAUUUACUGCCCAUUAUUGGAGUAGGACUAGUGGAGGCGAGGAGGGAAUGAUUUUCAGGAGAAAUGAAUGCCGAGCAAUUAAUUCCCUGCCCUCCUGACCCAGCUGUGAAUGGGCAGAGCCAUAUUCUUGAAUUACCCAACUUUAGAGAUCGCUAAGUUUUCUAGUCCAGAUCUUGGGCCAAGCCCCUGUUCUGCUCAGCCAGGGGACACGUACCUAGCAAUCAGAAGGGGAAAGUGAGUGAGAUGUGGUACCUGAGCAAGAUUACCAUCUCCACAAAUUCCCUAACCACCCUUAAUGGCUGAGGGUAAAACUCAAUUUUAUCAGUAUUGGGAAGAAAUGGCUAGGGUCCAAUUUGGUCCUCACCUGUCAAACCAUAGCUGAGGUGUUGACAGAUCUCAUCUUAACCCCUCUGCCACCUGAUUUUCCUCUGGACAUCUGUUAUCCUGUCAUUGCAAAGUUCUGCCUGUUGGUAGGAAGAAGGCAAGCAGGAGAGAAAUCCUGAACUGGGUGCACAGCUGGGGCUCUUUGCACCAGGUACUUGACCUCCAGGCUCCCUUGAUUGAUCUCAAUUAUAGAAGUAAUGAAAUCUCACUUUCCGGAAGGCAGGGGACUGGAUCAGAUGAUCUAUGGAGAUUCCUUUCUGUUCUAGUCUCUAGGGAUCCAUGGCUUCUGGAAGUCAGGAAUAGUCUGGCACGGACUUGGAAACACAGAGAUACCUUAAGAGUCAUAAAUGUCCUGUUACUGGAGGUCAAGUAGAGGCUGUAUUGCCACCUUCUAGGUCUAUAUCCCCUUGCUUAAAACCAUGAGCAGUGAUGUCCUUGGGGUGAAUGCCGUUGGCCCUUCAGCCCUUAAACUGUGACAGGGCUGCUGAGGAAGUAGUUUUGGAGAAGUUUGGUUUGUUAUUUAUGUUCUUCCAGAAGGGGUAUGGACAUAUCCAGAGAGAACCUACUUCUGUGGUACAGUAGAAGCAACACUGGCCAUGGAGUUAGAGGAACUGGGUUCAUUUCCUACCUCCAUUGUUUACUCUCUAUGUGACCUUGAACAAGUCACUUAACUUGAUCCUUAGUUUCUCAUCUAGAAAAUGAGGAAGUUGGAUCAAGUGACUUCUGAAACUCUUGCAAGCCCAAAUCCAUGAUUGUGCAAUGACUCAUUAAGGUUUUCUCUCCUCUCUGAGGUUUCAAAUGACUCCUUUUAAAAACUAUUUAUCUGUUGAGCAUAUUUCACCUUUUAGAGUCUCUGAGUCAGUAAGAACCAUGACCUAGACUGUGAAGAGCAAGUCUUGUCUAGGAGAUUCGGGUUCUAGCUCCAGCUUGGCUGCAAAUUGUCUGUGUGAACUUGGGCAAGUUAUGAGCCUCAGUUUCCUCUUCUGCAAAAUUAGAGCAAUGGGCAAGAUGACCUCUAAGCUAUAGUUUUCCUAAAACUGCUCUUUGGAGGCUUGAAGGGGUGGCGGCAGUCUCAGUUCUGAACUCCUCCGUCCCAGUAUUGAGUGUCUCGGCACUGGACGCCUACCCUUCCUUCAUACUUUAGCCCAUGCCUGAUGGCUUGGGACAUGGAAAACUACUUUCCGAUGAAUUCUCUGGAGGAAUCGUUGCAAACAUUUUUAAAAGCCCCACUCCCAAGUUCUAUGCUGCCUGAACUCUACACUUGGUCCCUCUGGGAGUGAAGGGUGAAGGGAAAAAGGCCAUGUUUUGUAGUUGAAGUCAAUGCAGACCAGUUUUCCCUUUAUGUGAGGGAAUGGGGCAACAUUCAAAAUGCCCCCAGGUUUUCCAGGCCAUAUCUUGGGUCAAGGUCCUGCUCUUAGUCAGAAGACAGUCUUCCAGGGCAGAUCUUGGGUCAAGGUCCCGCUCUUCUUAGUUGGAAGACAGGUGUCUAUCAGCUAGAUGGGAAAAGUGAAUAGAAUGUGAAACCUUAGCGAGAUAACCCACCCUCCAUCUCCCCCAAUCCUUAGACCUCCCCAUUGACCAAUAUUUUUGAUCAUUAGAAACUCAAGCUCGGUGAGGAUGUCAAAAACCCAAGCCAAAAAUUCUCGUUAGUCCAGAAGUUUUCUCAGCUUUUAGCCUUAUUUUAGUGCAACCCAAUCCCCCCAUAGUUGUAGAUCGAGAAGAACCCAGUUCUAUC
Sarcophilus harrisii (Tasmanian devil) is the source of this 7308-nucleotide long non-coding RNA. RefSeq lists it as uncharacterized. Lineage: Eukaryota; Metazoa; Chordata; Mammalia; Dasyuromorphia; Dasyuridae. The transcript has 5 exons. The record is from RefSeq and is a predicted model, not a curated record.